UGGAUACUUCUUAUAAAUGGUCAUUAUAUAAAUAAAAUAUAUAGUCUCUGUGUUUGCCUUCUUUCACUUAGCAGAAUGUUUUAAAGAUUCCUGUAUUAUAGCAUGUAUUGACACAUUAUUCCUUCUGAUGGUGGAAUGAUAUUGCAUUUUAUAGAUAUACUACACAUUAUUUAUCCAUUCCUCCAUUGGUGGAUGUUUGGGUUGGUUCCACUGUUGGUUAUGAUGAACAAUGUGGCUAUGAAACUUUGGGUACUUGUGUUCAUAUGGAUGUACGUGAUUAUUUGUGUUCAAUACAUGCUGCAGAGUGGAAUUGCUGAGUCAAGUGGUAACUUUAUGUUUAGAAUUUUGAGAAAUUGCCAAAUUGUUUUCUAAAAGAGGCUGCACCUUUUUGCAAACUCACCAGCAAAGUAUGAGGGUUCUAAUUUCUCCACAUCCUUGCCAAGGUUUGUUAUUGCUUGUUACUUAUUUAUUUAUUUUUUAAUUAUACCCAUCCUGAUGAUUGGAAUUUCAUUGUGGUUUGUAUCUGCAUUUCCCUAAUGACUAAUAAUGUUGAACACCUUUUUAUGUGCUUAUUGGACAUUUGCAUAUCUUCCUUGGAGAAAUAUCUAUUCAGAUCAUUUGCCAACUCUAAAAUUGGGUUAUUUGUAUUUUUAUUAUUGAGUUGUAAGAGUUUAAAAAUAUAUUCUGGAUACAAGUCCUUUAUUAGAUAUAUGAUUUGCAAAUAUUUUUUUCACUCUGAGUUGUUUUUCCCCUUUCUUGAUGAUCAUUUGCAGC
Molecule: long non-coding RNA, 774 nt
Filed under: Marmota monax (woodchuck)
Lineage: Eukaryota; Metazoa; Chordata; Mammalia; Rodentia; Sciuridae
Source: RNAcentral